RNAcentral lists this long non-coding RNA (2463 nucleotides) under Nicotiana tabacum (common tobacco). Its description in RNAcentral is "long non-coding RNA (NTAB_LNC017970)". Lineage: Eukaryota; Viridiplantae; Streptophyta; Magnoliopsida; Solanales; Solanaceae. The record is from RNAcentral.
AACUCCGAAAGCUUGCUGGAAGGCAAAUCAACACUCGCUAGCGUGACCCGAGACUCCUGAAUCUGCACACAGGGUGCAAGAAGCAAUGUCCGUAUGCAACCUCAGUGAGUAAUAAAAGUAAAGGUAGCUGAGCAGUAAGAAAACACGUAAACCACAACAUUACACCACACCAAAAUAGUAUAAGUCUAGAACAAUGCAUUAAAAAAGUAAAACAUGUGAAAACAUCUCAGUUCAAAAAAACCUCUUUAAAACAUCUUUCAAUAGUUUCAAACGAGUGAUGAAAACAGUGAGAAAAGGAUAGAAACGUAAAACAACCCCUCGGGCAAAACAAGCACCACAACCGCCCCUCGGGCAAAAUAUCAAUAGAACCAACCCCUCGGGCUACCUAACAAUCACUCGUAUCAACCCCUCGGGCAAUAACAUGAAACAACAACUGCCACACCUCCUUUUUUACCGGAAAAGGAUAUAAGAGAGUUUUUCCAAUUAAAGUGACAAUAAUCGAAACAGGAUUAUUUAUUCAAAUUCAGAGUCACCACUUGGGAUGAUUUAUGGUGUCCCAAGUCACCGGUUUAAAAUCCCGAAUCGAGGAAGAUGACUCUAUUUAUGGUUCGCGAAACACAAAAAUCCGGGUAAGAAAUUCUGUUAACCCGGGAGAAGGUGUUAGGCAUUCUCGAAUUCCAUAGUUUUAGCACGGUCGCUUUAAUCAUACUUGGCUUAAUUAAAUUGUCUAAUAACUUAUUUUAAAACCUUUGUGCAUUUACCACUUUUAAUUAGGAAAUUAUCCUAAGAUGAGUCACGCGUACGUGUACUCAUUUCAUUUGGCACGUAAAAAUCAUGUCACGCGUACGUGUCCACAAUUAAUCACACUUUAUUAUUAUUAAGAAAAUUUGGCCGAAGUUGCGCGAACGCAUACCUUGAAUUUAUUUUUAGAAUCCUAAUUAUAUAACGCGAACGUGUACACAAUCACGAUAAUAGAUUAAUUAAGAGCGUGCUUGAAGAUAAUAAUGAUCCCAAAGUAAAGAAAUCAUAUAAAAAAUAAUUAAAAAAAACAAAUGUCCAUGAAAUUCGUCUCUCUGCUACUAUUCAUUUCAUUUUUAAUUUAACCCAUGGUCCAACUACUUUUAUGUUUCAAGAGCGGAUUUCCCAUGGACAAACAACUAAAAUCACAGUUUCUCCAAGAUUCAUUAAUUAUUGUUCUUCCUAAAUCCUUCAUUUCAACACAAAUCAACUAAAAAUCAGCCAUUCCGUAUGACACACUAGCAAUAAUACAUCCAGUCAAUCAACUGGAUUAGCACAAGUAAUUAUAUAGAUAAGUAUCACAACACAGUAUUAAACUUGUGAUUAAAGAGAGAGAGAGAGUUAUGGACCUCAACAAGACAUAUUCUCCAAAUUGAUUUUUUGGCUAAAACGUACAAAUGUGACAAACUCCGACAUCUAAACCAAACGGAAAACAAACAUCGCAACAGAAACUCCGUCAGGAACCACAAACGACAAGCUCAACUUUAACGGGGACCUCUAAUCGGCGACGAACUCCAAUCAAACUCGACUUAACUUCAUUUCCAUACUUGAAAACAAAAAAUCAAAACCCAAAUUUUCCUCCUCAAUUCUAUCCGUUCUUUUUACCUAACUGUGUGCGAUUGUAACAACAGAAAAAGAAUAAAAAUAGAAGAAAAUGACCAUAAUGGCCGAAGUCAUCUUUUCCCUCUCGUCACUGUUUUUUGUGAAAUUCUAGCUGCUGAAUCUUAGAGAUUAGGACUAGAGUUUUUCAGGUUCUUCAAAAGGGAGGGCUUCCGCUUGUUUCUUGGAGUUAUUGGAACAGCCGCCAUGAAGGCCCACCGGAAUUUGGCCAGCUCGACAGCAAGAUAGAAUCAAAUGAAAGCGAAACGAGGGAGGGAGGUCGUUCUCUAUUGGGGGUGGUCUGCUACUCCUCGUUUCUUUCGAAGAAGAAGGUCGCUAGUCGUGAGACAAAAUCUUGAAGAAGAAGGGUGCUUGCUUCUCUUGCUGUGUGUAUUAAGUUGCUCAUCUAGGGUGUGGUCAGAUGAUGGAAAAUGGCUCAUCUUUUGUGUAUUAGGUUGCUAUAGGUUCGUUCAGGGUGAAGCCCAAGAAGAAGACAUGGUUGAAGGGCCUUGUGUCGCUGCUUGUUCUCUUCGGUCCGAAGAAGAAGAAUACGUUGAGGGAUGGUUGUUCUUGGGAGUUGCGGCUGGUUCAUUCAAGGGAGUUCUCUAGGGUUUUCUAAUGAGGAAGAAAGGGUGCUCAAGGCUUUUUUCCCUAAAAAACGGUUGAUGAUUUUUUUUCUCAGGUCCUUUUUGUUGUGUCUCAUGUCUAGGGUUAAGAAGAAUGGUUUUUUUUAGGUUAAGGGAGUAUGAGCUUGGUCUGAUUGGGACUUAAAAUUGGGCCAAAAAAUAAAAAUGGACUACAAAAUUCAUUAAAAUGGGAUAAACCAACCCAAAACUAACUCUUCCU